AACGCACAUUGCGCCUCCUGGUAUUCCGGGAGGCACGCCUGUUCGAGCGCCAUUACACACUCCAAGCUCUGCUUGAUGUUGGACGAUGCGAGUCGCCUUCUUGGGGGUGACUGCACGUUCGGAACGUGUGGGCGUCCGGUCUGUCGAGAAACCACGAGCGUAGCAAGACUCAGCGCAAGCUGUCAAUUCGCUCGGCUGGGGCUCCAGCGGACGGUCUGCAGAGGGGCACGCAUGAUGCAGCCUUUUCCUCUUUUGAGGGAUGGCGGGUUGUGGGUGUGCCGACGCAUAACAACGAGUUUGGCCUCGGAUCAGGCGGGGAUACCCGCUGAACUUAA
Molecule: unclassified non-coding RNA, 335 nt
Filed under: uncultured fungus
Lineage: Eukaryota; Fungi
Description: sequence contains ITS2
Source: RNAcentral